RNAcentral lists this ribosomal RNA (645 nucleotides) under uncultured bacterium. RNAcentral describes it as "bacterial SSU rRNA". It matches the Rfam family "Bacterial small subunit ribosomal RNA", at positions 202 to 842 of the family's 1533-position model. The record is from RNAcentral.
CAAAGGAGGCGACUCCGGAGACGGAUGGGCAUGCGUGACAUUAGCUAGUUGGCGGGGUAACGGCCCACCAAGGCGACGAUGUCUAGGGGUUCUGAGAGGAAGGUCCCCCACACUGGUACUGAGACACGGACCAGACUCCUACGGGAGGCAGCAGUGAGGAAUAUUGGUCAAUGGGCGAGAGCCUGAACCAGCCAAGUCGCGUGAAGGAUGACGGCCCUACGGGUUGUAAACUUCUUUUGUCAGGGAGCAAUUGAGUCCACGUGUGGGCUUAGCGAGAGUACCUGAAGAAAAAGCAUCGGCUAACUCCGUGCCAGCAGCCGCGGUAAUACGGAGGAUGCGAGCGUUAUCCGGAUUUAUUGGGUUUAAAGGGUGCGUAGGCGGAAUAUCAAGUCAGCGGUAAAAAUUCGGGGCUCAACCCCGUCGUGCCGUUGAAACUGAUGUUCUUGAGUGGGCGAGAAGUAUGCGGAAUGCGUGGUGUAGCGGUGAAAUGCAUAGAUAUCACGCAGAACUCCGAUUGCGAAGGCAGCAUACCGGCGCCCAACUGACGCUGAAGCACGAAAGCGUGGGUAUCGAACAGGAUUAGAUACCCUGGUAGUCCACGCAGUAAACGAUGAAUGCUAAUUGUCCGGAGGGAUUGACCUCUGG